Cyprinus carpio (common carp) is the source of this 1131-nucleotide non-coding RNA. The record is from the annotation of a RefSeq genome assembly. Lineage: Eukaryota; Metazoa; Chordata; Actinopteri; Cypriniformes; Cyprinidae.
ACUGAGAGCAGAACGAAUCACAAUCUUCAUCAUCACACAAGACACAACAACAACAAUGAACAACAUCAUCAUCCUCAUCUGGACUCUGACUCUCUGCAUUCAGGAGAUCUGGGGACAAGUGACAGUGACUCAGAAUCCAGAAAUAAAAUCCAUCAAUCAAGGAGAAACUGUUACAAUCAGCUGUAAAACCAGUCAGCUGAUUUCUGGCUGUAGUGACUGUGUGUCUUGGUAUCAGCAGAAACCUGGAGAAGCUCCUAAACUCCUCAUUUAUUACAUAAACAGCCUCCAGUCAGGAACUCCUUCUAGAUUCAGUGGCAGUGGAGCUAGCUACGGAAGUGAUUUCUCUCUGACCAUCAGUGGAGUCCAGACUGAAGAUACAGGAGAUUAUUAUUGUCAGAGUUACCCACAGUGGUGGUGUGUUCACACAGUGAUAAAGAGUCGUACAAAAACCUCCGUCAGUCAGAGUCACAGUGACUGCACUGAUACAGCUGAGAGACACUGCAGCUGCUGAUGAGAGGCGGGUGAUAAACAAUGCAAUGACAAUAAUGUUAAAUUACACAUUUUUCUAAUAACAUUAAAUUAUUAUUAUUAUUAUUAUUAUUAUUAUUAUUAUUAUUAUUAUUUUACUAAGUAUAGCAAACAUAGUUGUUGUAUGUUCUGUAACUUAUUUUAUUUUAAAUAACAGUUAGUGCUCAGACAGGUCAGUCUUUGUGUCUCUCCUCUUGUGUUUCAGAUCAGUUUAUGAGAACGGAGUGGAAACCGAGGCAGAGAUUUUUAAUUUAGAUUUUUGAUUGCAGAGCAAUUGUGUUUUCUGUCUCAUAAUUGUUCACUGAUUGAUCAGAGUGCUUUUUUUUCACCGGUGAAAAGAAACACAAAUUUAACUAGAUUUUGUCUGGAAGGUAGGUUAUUUCUUGCUUAUAGAAAUGUUAUAUAAAAACAAUGUCACACUCACAGUUUUGCUGUGGCUUUAUGUCUAUGAUAGAAUCUGUGCUGAUAUUCAGUACAACUUUUUGUCAUGUGAUAUUGCUUAAAUGCAGCAGGAUGAAAGAAAACAACAAAAGACCUUCAAGCCUAAGACAACUUCAGCAUGGACGUUUAAUACACUCUACAUUUUGAUUGCAAAAAAAUAAA